CCCCACCACCCUCACCUCCCCCCCGCUCCCCCCCGGGGCUCCAGCGCCCCCGACGCUCUCGGUGCUGUGGAGGCGGGGGGGGGAGCAGGGGACACACGCUCAAGAUGGAGGCGGCGGUGGCGGCGCGGGCCGGCCGAGCGGCGGGGAGAGGCGGCAGCCAGCGGCCAGGCGGGGGAGGGGGCUCCGCGCUCCGCUCCCCCCGCGGGCAGGCACCGCCCGCCCCUCCCCGGUGCCUUCCCACACCCGGGCCGCGCCGAGCGGGAGGCCCCCGGGGGCUGCUGGUGACGGGAGGGCGGGGGGUCGCUCCGCGCUGCCCUCAUGGCUCAGGCGGGGGUCGCUGCCGCCCGUGUCCCCCUCCGGGGCUGACGAGGCAGCACCGGGCAGCCGCGGCCUCCCGGAGGCCGGAGCGGGAUAUCCCCGCACCUCGCCUGCCCCCCACAUCAUCGCGGGGUUGGGGUUCGGGAGCUCGGUGCAGCCGUGUGCGCCCAUCCCAGGCCGGUACCUCACGGGCGGGAGCCGGCAGGCCACGGGGAAUGAGCUGUGAAAAGAAAAACAGCCAUAAUCACGUUUCCAGCCAACACUCUGCUGACCCAUGAUACAGGAAAAAUGCAGAGGAUUAGGAACGCUUUCCCUGGUUGCUCAGGCAACAGCAAGACAUGGGAAUAUGAAAAGGUACUAGCAUCCUUUGUACAGAAUCUCACUAGAGCUCUCAAAUAUGUUUAUAAUUUUCUGUUUUUCUUCUUUCCCAUUGUCACAUACGUAAAACAUGAACAUUA
Long non-coding RNA from Pyrgilauda ruficollis (rufous-necked snowfinch), 776 nucleotides. RefSeq lists it as uncharacterized. The record is from RefSeq and is a predicted model, not a curated record. Lineage: Eukaryota; Metazoa; Chordata; Aves; Passeriformes; Passeridae. The transcript has 2 exons.